This is a long non-coding RNA of Arachis stenosperma, 1056 nucleotides long. RefSeq lists it as uncharacterized. Lineage: Eukaryota; Viridiplantae; Streptophyta; Magnoliopsida; Fabales; Fabaceae. The record is from RefSeq and is a predicted model, not a curated record. The transcript has 3 exons.
CCCCCCUUCUUCCCCCGACCCCAUUCGUUCUUCUCAAUCUCACAACGAACCCUAGCACUCUGAAGUCUGAAGCAUUCCUAGCCCAGUAGCCCUCCAUCCGUCGUCGCCGCGGUGCUCAGGUCGUCAGCGCCACCGCCUGAUUCUCAGCACCAGUAGCCCUCCAUCGUCGCCUGGUUCCCAGCCCAGUAGCCCUCCAUCGUCUUCGCUGGCCUCUUGAACCAGUUAAGGGGGCUAUGCCAUUGGAUGAAGGGUUGGCAAUUAGAUUCAAUACAUCUAAUGUCAUCAAGUGGAAGGAAGCAAAACUGCAAAAGAAAACCAGGGGUUGCAAAAUACAAAAAUAAAUUGAAGGUAGCUGGUAUACAUUUAGUUUGAUCAAUGCUGAUUUACUGAUUUGAGGUUGAACCGGUUGGACCAAUAAACCAGUAAACCAGUAACUAGAGCGGUUUGAUGACCGGUCCGGUUUUCCGAACCUUGGUAAAGAGGAAAAGGGGAAGGGAAAACGUGAAGGGAGAAUAGGGGGGAGGGGGUUUCGGGAAGAAGAGGGGCAAGGGACCUCACCGCCGCCACCACCAUUACUCUUCGUUGUUCGGUCCUCGUCGUCUCUGCUGGAUCUCACCGCCAGAUCUCGCCGCUACUCCUCUUCUUGACUCGACGUCGACGCCAGUAGAUCCGCGAGGGUGGAUGUCGCGUGUCGCUCGCCGUUUCUGCUCCUCCUCCUCGCACAGCCGCCGGUCGUCGCUGCUCUUCAUUGGUUUCUAGUUUCUUCUGGUUAUGCUGCUUCUGCUUCUGAUGAUCUAUUCUUCUGGUUUCUGUUCUUUUGUUGUUAUUGUUCUUCUGAUUCCAUUAUCGAUUGUUUUUUCUGGGUUCCGAGUUAUGGGCUUUUGUUUUUCUGAGUUUUGAUGAUGAUGAUGAUGAUUUUCUGAGUUCUGGGUUCUUGUUGUUCUUUUAUUGUUGUUGUUGUUCUGCUUCUAGCUUCUUUUGUUGUUGUUCUUUUGAGUUCAGAUGAUGAUUUUCUGAGUUUUGAUAAUGAUGAUGAUUUUCUGAGUUAUGAGUUCA